UACGGGGGGAGCAAGCGUUGUUCGGAUUUACUGGGCGUAAAGGGCGCGUAGGCGGUCAGCACAAGUCAGUUGUGAAAUCUCCGGGCUUAACCCGGAAAGGUCAACUGAUACUGUGUGACUAGAGUGCGGAAGGGGCAACUGGAAUUCUCGGUGUAGCGGUGAAAUGCGUAGAUAUCGAGAGGAACACCUGCGGCGAAGGCGGGUCUCUGGACAGUUCCUGACGCUGAGGCACGAAGGCCAGGGGAGCAAACGGG
RNAcentral lists this ribosomal RNA (254 nucleotides) under uncultured bacterium. RNAcentral describes it as "partial 16S ribosomal RNA". It matches the Rfam family "Bacterial small subunit ribosomal RNA", at positions 524 to 776 of the family's 1533-position model. The record is from RNAcentral.